GAUGAACGCUGGCGGCGUGCUUAACACAUGCAAGUCGAACGGAAAGGCCGAAGCUUGCUUCGGUACUCGAGUGGCGAACGGGUGAGUAACACGUGGGUGAUCUGCCCUGCACUUUGGGAUAAGCCUGGGAAACUGGGUCUAAUACCAGAUAGGACCACGUCUUGGAUGGUGUGGUGGAAAGUUUUUUCGGUGUGGGAUGAGCUCGCGGCCUAUCAGCUUGUUGGUGGGGUAAUGGCCUACCAAGGCGUCGACGGGUAGCCGGCCUGAGAGGGUGUACGGCCACAUUGGGACUGAGAUACGGCCCAGACUCCUACGGGAGGCAGCAGUGGGGAAUAUUGCACAAUGGGCGCAAGCCUGAUGCAGCGACGCCGCGUGGGGGAUGACGGCCUUCGGGUUGUAAACUCCUUUCGCCAGGGACGAAGCGUAAGUGACGGUACCUGGAUAAGAAGCACCGGCUAACUACGUGCCAGCAGCCGCGGUAAUACGUAGGGUGCGAGCGUUGUCCGGAAUUACUGGGCGUAAAGAGCUCGUAGGUGGUUUGUCGCGUCGUUUGUGUAAUACCGCAGCUUAACUGCGGGGUUGCAGGCGAUACGGGCAUAACUUGAGUGCUGUAGGGGAGACUGGAAUUCCUGGUGUAGCGGUGGAAUGCGCAGAUAUCAGGAGGAACACCGAUGGCGAAGGCAGGUCUCUGGGCAGUAACUGACGCUGAGGAGCGAAAGCAUGGGUAGCGAACAGGAUUAGAUACCCUGGUAGUCCAUGCCGUAAACGGUGGGCGCUAGGUGUGAGUCCCUUCCACGGGGUUCGUGCCGUAGCUAACGCAUUAAGCGCCCCGCCUGGGGAGUACGGCCGCAAGGCUAAAACUCAAAGGAAUUGACGGGGGCCCGCACAAGCGGCGGAGCAUGUGGAUUAAUUCGAUGCAACGCGAAGAACCUUACCUGGGCUUGACAUGCACCGGAUCGCUGCAGAGAUGUAGUUUCCCUCGUGGCUGGUGUACAGGUGGUGCAUGGUUGUCGUCAGCUCGUGUCGUGAGAUGUUGGGUUAAGUCCCGCAACGAGCGCAACCCUUGUCUUAUGUUGCCAGCAUUUGGUUGGGGACUCAUGAGAGACUGCCGGGGUUAACUCGGAGGAAGGUGGGGAUGACGUCAAAUCAUCAUGCCCCUUAUGUCCAGGGCUUCACACAUGCUACAAUGGUCGGUACAACGCGCAGCUACUUCGUGAGGAGGCGCUAAUCGCUGAAAGCCGGUCUUAGUUCGGAUUGGGGUCUGCAACUCGACCCCAUGAAGUCGGAGUCGCUAGUAAUCGUAGAUCAGCAACGCUGCGGUGAAUACGUUCCCGGGCCU
This 1339-nucleotide ribosomal RNA is filed under the name uncultured bacterium. RNAcentral describes it as "bacterial SSU rRNA". It matches the Rfam family "Bacterial small subunit ribosomal RNA", at positions 28 to 1381 of the family's 1533-position model. The record is from RNAcentral.